GGGGAAUAUUGGGCAAUGGACGCAAGUCUGACCCAGCAACGCCGCGUGAAGGAAGAAGGCUUUCGGGUUGUAAACUUCUUUUAAGGGGGAAGAGUAGAAGACGGUACCCCUUGAAUAAGCCACGGCUAACUACGUGCCAGCAGCCGCGGUAAUACGUAGGGGGCAAGCGUUAUCCGGAUUUACUGGGUGUAAAGGGAGCGUAGGUGGUUCGGCAAGUCAGAUGUGAAAGCCCGGGGCUCAACCCCGGGACUGCAUUUGAAACUGUCGGGCUAGAGUGCAGGAGAGGUAAGUGGAAUUCCUAGUGUAGCGGUGAAAUGCGUAGAUAUAAGGAAGAACACCAGUGGCGAAGGCGGAUUACUGGACGACAACUGACGGUGAGGCGCGAAAGCGUGGGGAGCAAACA
RNAcentral lists this ribosomal RNA (403 nucleotides) under uncultured Oscillibacter sp. RNAcentral describes it as "bacterial SSU rRNA". It matches the Rfam family "Bacterial small subunit ribosomal RNA", at positions 356 to 774 of the family's 1533-position model. Lineage: Bacteria; Bacillati; Bacillota; Clostridia; Eubacteriales; Oscillospiraceae. The record is from RNAcentral.